CGCGCGGCGGGUCCCACGCGUAGCUCACGCCCGCUGGGACCUCGUGCCACCCCGAACCCAAGCGGCCGGGGGCCGUCGGGCGCUGGGCCGGGUUGGCGCGGAGACCUGGAGACUUGGGAAUCUCUGAAUAUACAGCACUGUCCUUCUGUGCUGGUCCCCACAUGUAGCCUGCAGUGGCCAGCUGGGUGCAUGGCUGGGCCAGGGGACCUGGAGGCGGCGGUCGACACGGAGCACGGGCAAGAAGGCUGGGGGCACGCUGGUUGGAGGGCCCAGACCUAGCCACGUCUCAGAAGCCACAUCUCACCAACUGCCCAAGAGGAGUGGGUGUCCCAGCCAUAAUCUCAUUUGGCCCUCACCCCAGGGCCUCAGAUGACCUGUCCAACAUCCCACAGAAAACCUCGAAGCCGCCCAGACUGAUGGGCCCUGACAACAUUGGUGCCUGGGGCUCAGACCCGAUCCUGCCAGUCAGGGGCUGAGGACCGCUGGGACUGUCUCUGAGCC
Long non-coding RNA from Herpailurus yagouaroundi (jaguarundi), 501 nucleotides. RefSeq lists it as uncharacterized. The record is from RefSeq and is a predicted model, not a curated record. The transcript has 3 exons. NCBI's taxonomy places the organism in Eukaryota, Metazoa, Chordata, Mammalia, Carnivora, Felidae.